AUUGACAGUGAAAAUAAAUAAACUAAUUUAUUUGAUGUAAUAUGAUCUUUUUGUAGUGUAUCAUACAUAUUUUUUGCAAAUGAAAAUUUAAAACACAUACUAUAAAAUCAUAUAACAAAUAAUAAUAUAGAUCCCGCCCGCAAAGCGGGCCGACCCUAGUAUAUCUAUCUAUUAUUAUAAAAGAGAGUUGGUUCUCUCCUUCUGACACGUCAGAUUCCACCUAGGAAAUUCGUUGAACGACAUGCCAACACGUGUCACAGUGAUACCGUUUCAUUUAUUCAGAAAGUCAUUGUUUAAUUUUUGUGGGCUUGCUAUUGUUUUGGGCCUAUUUGAACAAACCAGCUUCAUAAGUUAGGGUUCGUCAUUGUUCUUCGUUUCAUCGCGACCUCUGAACUUCGUCUUCACCACCGGAACGUUAUGGAAUCUUCGUGUUAAAUCUAUUAUUAAUUCAAUCAGUCAUGAUGUAGCCUUCAAUGUGGAUGAUUAAAUCUUCAGCGAGGCGUUGUACCUGCGAAUAUAAAAAGAUGUUCUUCCAUAGUUGAGGUCAGAUUGCAGCGAUUCUGGGAAGCGGCAGUGAUGAACUCAUGUUCGUUGAUAUGCUAUUACUUUGACUCAGAAGCGAAUUUUUAUUCCAGCCACCGUAAGUGCUAACCGGGUUCCAACCUUAUCUUCAAGCGCCGGCGAGAGACAAAUAUGGUCCUAGCCGGAAGAUCAUCAACCAAGGAGUUCCGAUAAGGUUUAACUGUCAAGGAGGAAGCGCUGGUUGGAGUGGGUCUCAACCGACGUGAGUUCAAAGAGAGCCAAGAAAAUCUAUAAACAAGGUUCAAAGUUCAAAACACUUUCUGGUGUAAUUGAUUACAUUGGGAAGAAUCCACUAGAAAUUCUCUUAGCAUUGAUGUUACCUUGAGACAGUUCAAGGAGAAUCUUCAGACUAUGAUGAAGAAAUAUACAAAUACAGCAAUGACAGGGUGAACAAGCUUCUGCUUCUGCGUCGAAUCCUCAUCAACAAAAGUGAUAUUAGUUGUCAAAGGCUAUUUGGGGAGCUGAAGGGAUAGCUUUUCAAUCUGUUAAUGAGAAAUCAAAGGAGAGUAAAAAGAGAGUGACAAAGAAGCGUGAGUUGGUGGUCUUCAUGUAAUGGUAAGAAUGCCUAACACGGUAGUAAAAGAUGAUAUAUGGAGAAUUCAAUGAAGGGCAUAAAUGAAAUUACCUCUUUAAUCAUGGCAGCAGCUUAGAUAUAUAAUUAUUGGGUUCUCUUUUUAUAUGCAAUUUCUAUGUGAUCGCAGCAUUUUCUUCUACAGUUGUUUUUGAACUUAAAUCUUAACUUUCUGGUGUCUUUUAUGUGCAUUUGAUUAGCUUAUGAAUGUAAAAUAAA
Long non-coding RNA from Raphanus sativus (radish), 1372 nucleotides. RefSeq lists it as uncharacterized. The record is from RefSeq and is a predicted model, not a curated record. The transcript has 3 exons. Lineage: Eukaryota; Viridiplantae; Streptophyta; Magnoliopsida; Brassicales; Brassicaceae.